This 895-nucleotide ribosomal RNA is filed under the name Bacillus cereus. Its description in RNAcentral is "bacterial SSU rRNA". It matches the Rfam family "Bacterial small subunit ribosomal RNA", at positions 50 to 930 of the family's 1533-position model. Lineage: Bacteria; Bacillati; Bacillota; Bacilli; Caryophanales; Bacillaceae. The record is from RNAcentral.
UAUACAUGCAGUCGAGCGAAUGGAUUAAGAGCUUGAUCUUAUGAAGUUAGCGGCGGACGGGYGAGUAACACGUGGGUAACCUGCCCAUAAGACUGGGAUAACUCCGGGAAACCGGGGCUAAUACCGGAUAACAUUUUGAACYGCAUGGUUCGAAAUUGAAAGGCGGCUUCGGCUGUCACUUAUGGAUGGACCCGCGUCGCAUUAGCUAGUUGGUGAGGUAACGGCUCACCAAGGCAACGAUGCGUAGCCGACCUGAGAGGGUGAUCGGCCACACUGGGACUGAGACACGGCCCAGACUCCUACGGGAGGCAGCAGUAGGGAAUCUUCCGCAAUGGACGAAAGUCUGACGGAGCAACGCCGCGUGAGUGAUGAAGGCUUUCGGGUCGUAAAACUCUGUUGUUAGGGAAGAACAAGUGCUAGUUGAAUAAGCUGGCACCUUGACGGUACCUAACCAGAAAGCCACGGCUAACUACGUGCCAGCAGCCGCGGUAAUACGUAGGUGGCAAGCGUUAUCCGGAAUUAUUGGGCGUAAAGCGCGCGCAGGUGGUUUCUUAAGUCUGAUGUGAAAGCCCACGGCUCAACCGUGGAGGGUCAUUGGAAACUGGGAGACUUGAGUGCAGAAGAGGAAAGUGGAAUUCCAUGUGUAGCGGUGAAAUGCGUAGAGAUAUGGAGGAACACCAGUGGCGAAGGCGACUUUCUGGUCUGUAACUGACACUGAGGCGCGAAAGCGUGGGGAGCAACAGGAUUAGAUACCCUGGUAGUCCACGCCGUAACGAUGAGUGCUAAGUGUWAGAGGGUUUCCGCCCUUYAGUGCUGAGUUAACGCAUUAAKCACYYCYSCUGGGAGKACGGCCGCAGGCUGAAACUCAAGGAAUUGACGGGGGCCSGCCACGAGC